This 858-nucleotide ribosomal RNA is filed under the name Triticum aestivum (bread wheat). Its description in RNAcentral is "partial small subunit ribosomal RNA". The record is from RNAcentral. Lineage: Eukaryota; Viridiplantae; Streptophyta; Magnoliopsida; Poales; Poaceae.
AUGGAGAAGAAGAGGACGAUUACUGGACAGCCAAGUUCGUCAUCUAAUGCAGUGAACCACCAGAGCUGGCUGGCCUUAUGGGGUACAAACGCACCAGGGAAGGUGUUAAUUCAUGUCUGGCGGCUGAUCAAGAACGGCUUGGCGGUGGGCUCUGAACUGCUGCGAAGAAAGAUCAAGCCUGGUGUUUUUUGCCCUGCUUGUGGACGUGAAGAAACGGUGUAUCACAGAUUCUGGGGAUGCCAUCAUUCUAUGUUGUUUUGGAAGGAACUGAGCUCGGUAUUGGGUGCGAGGGUGGCGAUCCCACCUCGUUCGAUGAGCACCCAGAGCUUAGUUGCAUCAUGGUUGCUUAACUGGCUAUCAGACGCCUCGGAGGAUGAUAGGGCAGCAAUGGUGCAGGGAUUAUAUGCCAUAUGGUUGGCGAGGAAUGAAACGAGGGAAGGGAAGCGAAUUGAGGAGGCCAACUUGGUGGCUAGGAGAGUUGCUGCACUCAUGGAGGAGUGGAAGAACGCGAAGGGGAGGCCACAUCGAUCGAGCCCAUCUACGCAACGGGCAACCUGGGAACCACCGGCGGCGGGCUGGUUAAAGGCCAACGUGGAUGGUGCAAUGGCUCGGUCAAGUCAGGGAGGAGGGUGUGGCGUGGUGUUCAGAGAUGAGGUGGGAGCUUUCCGAAGAGCUGAUGCGGUGUUUCUUCCUGGGGUCACAUCUGCCGAAGCAGCUGAGUUGCAAGCGUGCAAGCGAGCGGUGGUUUUAGCUAUGCAACGGGCUGUGCCUAAGCUCCAUCUGGAGACCGACUGCCAGAACGUGGCUAGAAUGUUGAAGAGCAAGAGCACAACCUGUCAUCGGUGGGAAUCAUGGUGA